UACGAAGGGGGCUAGCGUUGCUCGGAAUCACUGGGCGUAAAGCGCACGUAGGCGGCUCUUUAAGUCAGGGGUGAAAUCCUGGAGCUCAACUCCAGAACUGCCCUUGAUACUGAGGAGCUUGAGUAUGGAAGAGGGUUGCGGAAUUCCCGGUGUAGAGGUGAAAUUCGUAGAUAUCGGGAGGAACACCAGUGGCGAAGGCGGCAACCUGGGCCAAUACUGACGCUGAGGUGCGAAAGCGUGGGGAGCAAACAGG
RNAcentral lists this ribosomal RNA (253 nucleotides) under uncultured bacterium. Its description in RNAcentral is "partial 16S ribosomal RNA". It matches the Rfam family "Bacterial small subunit ribosomal RNA", at positions 524 to 776 of the family's 1533-position model. The record is from RNAcentral.